AGUUUGAUCCUGGCUCAGGAUGAACGCUAGCUACAGGCUUAACACAUGCAAGUCGAGGGGCAGCAUGGUCUUAGCUUGCUAAGGCCGAUGGCGACCGGCGCACGGGUGAGUAACACGUAUCCAACCUGCCGUCUACUCUUGGACAGCCUUCUGAAAGGAAGAUUAAACAAAGGUCGCCUCCUGGGUCCCGCUAUUUACAUUGAUAAAAGGUUUUCCGGUAGGCGGGUGGGGUCGUUUCCAUUAAAUAGGGGCGGGGGUCACCCCCCCCCUUUUUCUUUGGAAGGAAGGGGUUUGGGAGGAGACGCUCCCCCACAUUGGGAAAUGAGCCCGGGUCCAAACUUCCGAGGGGGAGCCAGCAGUGAAGAAUUUUUGGCCAAUGGGCGAGGCCCUGACCCAGCCAAAGUAGCGUAGAGGAUGACUCCCCUUGGGGGUUGAAAACUUCUUUUAAAAAAGAAAUAAAGUCGGGUAAGCAUACUCGUUUGGCAUGUACUUUAAGAAUAAGGAUCGGCUAACUCCGUCCCAGCAGCCGCGGUAAUACGGAGGAUCCGAGCGUUAUCCGGAUUUAUUGGGUUUAAAGGGAGCGUAGAUGGAUGUUUAAGUCAGUUGUGAAAGUUUGCGGCUCAACCGUAAAAUUGCAGUUGAUACUGGAUAUCUUGAGUGCAGUUGAGGCAGGCGGAAUUCGUGGUGUAGCGGUGAAAUGCUUAGAUAUCACGAAGAACUCCGAUUGCGAAGGCAGCCUGCUAAGCUGCAACUGACAUUGAGGCUCGAAAGUGUGGGUAUCAAACAGGAUUAGAUACCCUGGUAGUCCACACGGUAAACGAUGAAUACUCGCUGUUUGCGAUAUACAGCAAGCGGCCAAGCGAAAGCGUUAAGUAUUCCACCUGGGGAGUACGCCGGCAACGGUGAAACUCAAAGGAAUUGACGGGGGCCCGCACAAGCGGAGGAACAUGUGGUUUAAUUCGAUGAUACGCGAGGAACCUUACCCGGGCUUAAAUUGCAGAUGAAUUACGGUGAAAGCCGUAAGCCGCAAGGCAUCUGUGAAGGUGCUGCAUGGUUGUCGUCAGCUCGUGCCGUGAGGUGUCGGCUUAAGUGCCAUAACGAGCGCAACCCUUGUUGUCAGUUACUAACAGGUUCCGCUGAGGACUCUGACAAAACUGCCAUCGUAAGAUGUGAGGAAGGUGGGGAUGACGUCAAAUCAGCACGGCCCUUACGUCCGGGGCUACACACGUGUUACAAUGGGGGGUACAGAGGGCCGCUACCACGCGAGUGGAUGCCAAUCCCCAAAACCUCUCUCAGUUCGGACUGGAGUCUGCAACCCGACUCCACGAAGCUGGAUUCGCUAGUAAUCGCGCAUCAGCCACGGCGCGGUGAAUACGUUCCCGGGCCUUGCACACACCGCCCGUC
RNAcentral lists this ribosomal RNA (1404 nucleotides) under uncultured bacterium. RNAcentral describes it as "bacterial SSU rRNA". It matches the Rfam family "Bacterial small subunit ribosomal RNA". The record is from RNAcentral.